UAAAGCAAAUGAGCUUCAGGCCUCUGACCAC
RNAcentral lists this non-coding RNA (31 nucleotides) under Mus musculus (house mouse). The record is from RNAcentral. Lineage: Eukaryota; Metazoa; Chordata; Mammalia; Rodentia; Muridae.